GGAAGUAAAAGUCGUAACAAGGUUUCCGUAGGUGAACCUGCGGAAGGAUCAUUAUCGAAUAAACUUGAACAGGUUGUUGCUGGUCCCUCGGGAUAUGUGCACGCUUGUCUCAUCUUUGUCAUUUCCCCCAACUUGUGCACAUUUUGUAGACUCUGGAGCUUUUGAAAAUAAAAUUCAGUGUUGGGACUGCUGUGCUUUCUUGUAAAGUCGGCUUUGCCUUGCCUCAGGUCUAUGUCAUUUUUAUUCACAAUCUCGUUCAGAAUGUAUCUUGAAAUGAAAUAUACAACUUUCAGCAACGGAUCUCUUGGCUCUCGCAUCGAUGAAGAACGCAGCGAAAUGCGAUAAGUAAUGUGAAUUGCAGAAUUCAGUGAAUCAUCGAAUCUUUGAACGCAUCUUGCGCUCCUUGGUAUUCCGAGGAGCAUGCCUGUUUGAGUGUCAUUUAACUUCUCAACCACACAUCUCAUGAUGGCUUGUGGCUUGGAUGUGGGGGUUGUUUGCAGGCUUUCUGUUAAUGAAGGUCGGCUCCCCUGAAAUGUAUUAGUGGUAUCUGAGGCUACUACUAUAGGUGUGGUAAUUAUCUAUGCCUUUGGUAUGCCGCAUGAACAGAUUACACUGCUUCUAACAACAACAAAAAACGAUGUUGAUAAAUUUGACCUCAAAUCAGGUAGGACUACCCGCUGAACUUAAGCAUAUCAAUAAGCGGAGGAAAUC
Molecule: ribosomal RNA, 711 nt
Filed under: uncultured Inocybe
Lineage: Eukaryota; Fungi; Basidiomycota; Agaricomycetes; Agaricales; Cortinariaceae
Description: eukaryotic LSU rRNA
Rfam family: 5.8S ribosomal RNA (bases 285-438)
Source: RNAcentral